UGCAAGUCGAGCGGAUCUUCAUUAGCUUGCUUUUGAAGAUCAGCGGCGGACGGGUGAGUAACACGUGGGCAACCUGCCUGUAAGACUGGGAUAACUUCGGGAAACCGGAGCUAAUACCGGAUAAUCCUUUCCCUCACAUGAGGGAAAGCUGAAAGACGGUUUCGGCUGUCACUUACAGAUGGGCCCGCGGCGCAUUAGCUAGUUGGUGAGGUAAUGGCUCACCAAGGCAACGAUGCGUAGCCGACCUGAGAGGGUGAUCGGCCACACUGGGACUGAGACACGGCCCAGACUCCUACGGGAGGCAGCAGUAGGGAAUCUUCCGCAAUGGACGAAAGUCUGACGGAGCAACGCCGCGUGAACGAUGAAGGCUUUCGGGUCGUAAAGUUCUGUUGUCAGGGAAGAACAAGUACCGGAGUAACUGCCGGUACCUUGACGGUACCUGACCAGAAAGCCACGGCUAACUACGUGCCAGCAGCCGCGGUAAUACGUAGGUGGCAAGCGUUGUCCGGAAUUAUUGGGCGUAAAGCGCGCGCAGGCGGUUCCUUAAGUCUGAUGUGAAAGCCCCCGGCUCAACCGGGGAGGGUCAUUGGAAACUGGGGAACUUGAGUGCAGAAGAGGAGAGCGGAAUUCCACGUGUAGCGGUGAAAUGCGUAGAGAUGUGGAGGAACACCAGUGGCGAAGGCGGCUCUCUGGUCUGUAACUGACGCUGAGGCGCGAAAGCGUGGGGAGCGAACAGGAUUAGAUACCCUGGUAGUCCACGCCGUAAACGAUGAGUGCUAAGUGUUAGAGGGUUUCCGCCCUUUAGUGCUGCAGCAAACGCAUUAAGCACUCCGCCUGGGGAGUACGGCCGCAAGGCUGAAACUCAAAGGAAUUGACGGGGGCCCGCACAAGCGGUGGAGCAUGUGGUUUAAUUCGAAGCAACGCGAAGAACCUUACCAGGUCUUGACAUCCUCUGACAACCCUAGAGAUAGGGCGUUCCCCUUCGGGGACAGAGUGACAGUGUGCAUGGUUGUCGUCAGCUCGUGUC
RNAcentral lists this ribosomal RNA (1027 nucleotides) under Mesobacillus thioparans. Its description in RNAcentral is "bacterial SSU rRNA". It matches the Rfam family "Bacterial small subunit ribosomal RNA", at positions 56 to 1066 of the family's 1533-position model. The record is from RNAcentral. Lineage: Bacteria; Bacillati; Bacillota; Bacilli; Caryophanales; Bacillaceae.